This 338-nucleotide ribosomal RNA is filed under the name uncultured Gammaproteobacteria bacterium. RNAcentral describes it as "bacterial SSU rRNA". It matches the Rfam family "Bacterial small subunit ribosomal RNA", at positions 1019 to 1358 of the family's 1533-position model. Lineage: Bacteria; Pseudomonadati; Pseudomonadota; Gammaproteobacteria. The record is from RNAcentral.
CCUUCGGACUCUGUGACAGGUGCUGCAUGGCUGUCGUCAGCUCGUGUUGUGAAAUGUUGGGUUAAGUCCGCAACGAGCGCAACCCCUAUCCUUAUUUGCCAGCGCGUAGUGGCGGGAACUCUAAGGAGACUGCCGGUGAUAAACCGGAGGAAGGUGGGGACGACAUCAAGUCAUCAUGGCCUUACGGGAUGGGCUACACACGUGCUACAAUGGCAGGUACAGAGGGCAGCGAAGCCGCGAGGUUGAGCGAAUCCCAGAAAGCUUGUCGUAGUCCGGAUUGGAGUCUGCAACUCGACUCCAUGAAGUCGGAAUCGCUAGUAAUCGUAGAUCAGAAUGCU